GCCCUUUGCGGGCAGCUUUACCAUGCAGUCGAACGGUAACAGGGUGCUUGCACCGCUGACGAGUGGCGAACGGGUGAGUAAUGCAUCGGAAUGUACCGUGUAAUGGGGGAUAGCUCGGCGAAAGCCGGAUUAAUACCGCAUACGCCCUGAGGGGGAAAGUGGGGGACCGUAAGGCCUCACGUUAUACGAGCAGCCGAUGUCUGAUUAGCUAGUUGGUGGGGUAAAGGCUCACCAAGGCGACGAUCAGUAGCGGGUCUGAGAGGAUGAUCCGCCACACUGGGACUGAGACACGGCCCAGACUCCUACGGGAGGCAGCAGUGGGGAAUUUUGGACAAUGGGCGCAAGCCUGAUCCAGCCAUGCCGCGUGUCUGAAGAAGGCCUUCGGGUUGUAAAGGACUUUUGUCCGGGAGCAAAUCCCAGUGGUUAACACCUACUGGGGCUGAGAGUACCGGAAGAAUAAGCACCGGCUAACUACGUGCCAGCAGCCGCGGUAAUACGUAGGGUGCAAGCGUUAAUCGGAAUUACUGGGCGUAAAGCGUGCGCAGGCGGUUGUGCAAGUCUGAUGUGAAAGCCCCGGGCUUAACCUGGGAACGGCAUUGGAGACUGCACGACUAGAGUGCGUCAGAGGGGGGUAGAAUUCCGCGUGUAGCAGUGAAAUGCGUAGAGAUGCGGAGGAAUACCGAUGGCGAAGGCAGCCCCCUGGGAUGACACUGACGCUCAUGCACGAAAGCGUGGGGGAGCAAACAGGAUUAGAUACCCUGGUAGUCCACGCCCUAAACGAUGUCACUAGCUGUUGGGGGUUUGAAUCCUUGGUAGCGAAGCUAACGCGAGAAGUUGACCGCCUGGGGAGUACGGCCGCAAGGUUAAAACUCAAGGAAUUGACGGGGACCCGCACAGCGGUGGAUGAU
Molecule: ribosomal RNA, 908 nt
Filed under: Chromobacterium haemolyticum
Lineage: Bacteria; Pseudomonadati; Pseudomonadota; Betaproteobacteria; Neisseriales; Chromobacteriaceae
Description: bacterial SSU rRNA
Rfam family: Bacterial small subunit ribosomal RNA
Source: RNAcentral